GAGUUUGAUCAUGGCUCAGAACGAACGCUGGCGGCGUGCUUAACACAUGCAAGUCGAACGUGAUUCAGAGCUUGCUCUGAUGAAAGUGGCGCACGGGUGAGUAACGCGUGGAUAACCUGCCCUGGUAUCUGGGAUAACAUCUCGAAAGGGGUGCUAAUACCGGAUAAGCCUCCGGGAUCUUCGGAUUCUGCAGGAAAAGAAGGCCUCUAUUUAUAAGCUUUCGUAUCAGGAUGGGUCCGCGUACCAUUAGCUAGUUGGUGGGGUAAUGGCCUACCAAGGCGACGAUGGUUAGCUGGUCUGAGAGGAUGAUCAGCCACACUGGAACUGAGACACGGUCCAGACUCCUACGGGAGGCAGCAGUGGGGAAUUUUGCGCAAUGGGGGAAACCCUGACGCAGCAACGCCGCGUGAGUGAUGAAGGCUUUCGGGUCGUAAAGCUCUGUCAGAGGGGAAGAAAUGGAACUGGCUAAUAUCCAGUUUUCUUGACGGUACCCUCAAAGGAAGCACCGGCUAACUCCGUGCCAGCAGCCGCGGUAAUACGGAGGGUGCAAGCGUUGUUCGGAUUUAUUGGGCGUAAAGCGCGUGUAGGCGGUUUCUUAAGUCU
This 603-nucleotide ribosomal RNA is filed under the name uncultured Geobacter sp. RNAcentral's name for it is "bacterial SSU rRNA". It matches the Rfam family "Bacterial small subunit ribosomal RNA", at positions 9 to 590 of the family's 1533-position model. Lineage: Bacteria; Pseudomonadati; Thermodesulfobacteriota; Desulfuromonadia; Geobacterales; Geobacteraceae. The record is from RNAcentral.